GGGGAGCCAGGAGCGCAUAGGAGCCAGAUCUUCCUCAUCUGGGGGGAAGGAGGUUCCCACCAGAAUCCUGCCCUCACCGGCUCCUCCCCAAAUCCCUCUAAGCUGGGUGUGUGUGUGUGUGGGGGGAAUGGAGAGGGGCCUGCGCCCCGGAGCCACCCAGAUGUAACUGCCGGGUUAAGGGGACUGAGGCUAUCGCCGCCCUGCUGGAGACCCCUCCUAACCUGCGCUGCCGGGUCCGUCGCCGACGGGUCGUUCUUGGGGUGCAGCCCGGAGGCUCAGCUGGAAGGUAGGCGGGAAGUGGGCAGGGACCAGUGUCCAGGCCCCAGAGGACAGAAGGGACCCCUAGGCGGGGGGGGGGGGGGGGGGAGAAGGUGCAGCCGGGGGCUCAGGCUGAGGCCGCCCCUGCUGAGGACCUCCCCUUCCCGCUUCUCCGGGUCCUCCCACAGCGACGGAGCGUCCCUGGGAGAGCAGUUCAGGCCCGGAGGGGGGAGCCAAGGGCUCGCCGGUGCCAGUCGCCGACGGGGCGCGCUCCGGUGCCGCGGCGGGUGGCACAGGCUGGCAGCCAUGGGCUGGGUGCCCGGGCCCCAAGGGGAGGGGGCGACUGCUGGCGACCGCCAGAGGUCCACGUUGUGGGCCCUCCUCCUCCCCCUCGCCUGCCGGCUCCAGCCCCGCCCGUCUCACCCCCGCCCCCCACGCCGAGCCGCGUCCGUUCCCACUGAUCCCGGCAGCGCGACUGCCGGGGGCGCACGACCAGGGCGCAGGGGAAAUUCGAGGCAAGGCAGGAGACGCAGAGGCUGUGAGCCUGUGCUCGGUGUCCCCAUCCGAGCGUCACCCGUGUCUGCAUGUAUCUGAUGCCUCCUUCCCCGCAGCGCGGCUGAGUCCGGGACUCCCUGGGUCUGUAUUUGCUCAUGGUUCCCUGAGGGCACCGAUGCCGUCCGGGAUGCAUUUGUUCCCGCCCUGGGCAAAGAAGUCCGUUCCCCUUCCCAGGCCUCGGUUUUCUCAUUAAGUGGGACUCGCGCGACCGUGUAACCAUUUCUAAGUAGCUGUAUGUGUGUUGAAACAUGAAAACCUUCGUGUCGGCUUCCAGUCGCAGCUUCCAGUCUGUAAACUGGGACUGAGGGGAGAGCUGCUGGGGGGUAUUAGAGGGUGAAGCCUUGGACGGGAAGUACUAUUACACUCUAAUGA
Molecule: long non-coding RNA, 1185 nt
Filed under: Ailuropoda melanoleuca (giant panda)
Lineage: Eukaryota; Metazoa; Chordata; Mammalia; Carnivora; Ursidae
Description: lncRNA (ENSAMEG00000030131.1)
Source: RNAcentral